Molecule: ribosomal RNA, 429 nt
Filed under: Acidobacteriota bacterium
Lineage: Bacteria; Pseudomonadati; Acidobacteriota
Description: Acidobacteria bacterium partial 16S ribosomal RNA
Rfam family: Bacterial small subunit ribosomal RNA
Source: RNAcentral
UGGGGAAUUUUGGACAAUGGGGGAAACCCUGAUCCAGCCAUCCCGCGUGUGCGAUGAAGGCCUUCGGGUUGUAAAGCACUUUUGGCAGGAAAGAAACGUCAUGGGUUAAUACCCCGUGAAACUGACGGUACCUGCAGAAUAAGCACCGGCUAACUACGUGCCAGCAGCCGCGGUAAUACGUAGGGUGCAAGCGUUAAUCCGAAUUACUGGGCGUAAAGCGUGCGCAGGCGGUUCGGAAAGAAAGAUGUGAAAUCCCAGAGCUCAACUUUGGAACUGCAUUUUUAACUACCGGGCUAGAGUGUGUCAGAGGGAGGUGGAAUUCCGCGUGUAGCAGUGAAAUGCGUAGAUAUGCGGAGGAACACCGAUGGCGAAGGCAGCCUCCUGGGAUAACACUGACGCUCAUGCACGAAAGCGUGGGGAGCAAACAGG